Molecule: ribosomal RNA, 479 nt
Filed under: Stemphylium spinaciae
Lineage: Eukaryota; Fungi; Ascomycota; Dothideomycetes; Pleosporales; Pleosporaceae
Description: eukaryotic LSU rRNA
Rfam family: 5.8S ribosomal RNA (bases 118-271)
Source: RNAcentral
AUUCACCCAUGUCUUUUGCGCACUUCUUGUUUCCUGGGCGGGUUCGCCCGCCACCAGGACCCAACCAUAAACCUUUUUGUAAUUGCAAUCAGCGUCAGUAAACAAUGUAAUUAUUACAACUUUCAACAACGGAUCUCUUGGUUCUGGCAUCGAUGAAGAACGCAGCGAAAUGCGAUACGUAGUGUGAAUUGCAGAAUUCAGUGAAUCAUCGAAUCUUUGAACGCACAUUGCGCCCUUUGGUAUUCCAAAGGGCAUGCCUGUUCGAGCGUCAUUUGUACCCUCAAGCUUUGCUUGGUGUUGGGCGUCUUGUCUCUCGCGAGACUCGCCUUAAAAUGAUUGGCAGCCGACCUACUGGUUUCGGAGCGCAGCACAAUUCUUGCACUUUGAAUCAGCCCUGGUUGAGCAUCCAUCAAGACCACAUUUUUUAACUUUUGACCUCGGAUCAGGUAGGGAUACCCGCUGAACUUAAGCAUAUCAAU